GUUUUUCCGCGGCUUGCUGGCGAGCUGAUCCACGAGCGACGAUGGGUGCGGCUGAAGGUUACGUGGACGUCGCUGCAAGCUCUUUGGUCAGCAAGGCUUCACGGAGAGAAGUGUUGACCGAAGGAGCUCCAGCUGAGGACACGUGAAGGCCAGCUUCGACGUUGGAGCAGCUUCUGCCGUGAGCUGUCUUGACCGGUGUGUUGGCAGCGUGAGGGCACUCGGUGGAUCGCGCGAACGAAGUUGGCGGAGACGGAAGGAGCAGUCGUGGACGCGUGGAGACGGCCUUCUUCGGUUGAUGGAGUUGCGCACGAAGGAGACACGAGCUGGCGUGAAGACACGGAAAGGAGGGGCGCUGGAU
RNAcentral lists this long non-coding RNA (358 nucleotides) under Eucalyptus grandis. RNAcentral describes it as "long non-coding RNA (EGRA_LNC000391)". The record is from RNAcentral. Lineage: Eukaryota; Viridiplantae; Streptophyta; Magnoliopsida; Myrtales; Myrtaceae.